This 460-nucleotide ribosomal RNA is filed under the name uncultured bacterium. RNAcentral's name for it is "partial 16S ribosomal RNA". It matches the Rfam family "Bacterial small subunit ribosomal RNA", at positions 338 to 795 of the family's 1533-position model. The record is from RNAcentral.
CCUACGGGAGGCAGCAGUGAGGAAUAUUGGUCAAUGGGCUUACGCCUGAACCAGCCAAGUCGCGUGAGGGAAGACUGCCCUAUGGGUUGUAAACCUCUUUUGUCAGGGAGCAAUUGGCGCUACGUGUAGCGUUAUCGAGAGUCCCUGAAGAAAAAGCAUCGGCUAACUCCGUGCCAGCAGCCGCGGUAAUACGGAGGAUGCGAGCGUUAUCCGGAUUUAUUGGGUUUAAGGGGUGCGUAGGCGGAAUGCCAAGUCAGCGGUAAAAUCGCGGGGCUCAACCUCGCUCCGCCGUUGAAACUGGCGGUCUUGAGUGGGCGAGAAGUAUGCGGAAUGCGUGGUGUAGCGGUGAAAUGCAUAGAUAUCACGCAGAACUCCGAUUGCGAAGGCAGCAUACCGGCGCCCAACUGACGCUGAAGCACGAAAGCGUGGGUAUCGAACAGGAUUAGAUACCCUUGUAGUC